ACAUGCCUACAACACAGUGUUAGUGCACCAUAUCCGAUUAGAACUCCGCAGUUAAGCGCACUCAGGAUAGAGUAGUAUUGGGAUGGGUGACCACCCGUGAAGUCCUACUAUUUUACAUGCC
Molecule: non-coding RNA, 121 nt
Organism: Picea glauca (white spruce)
Lineage: Eukaryota; Viridiplantae; Streptophyta; Pinopsida; Pinales; Pinaceae
Source: Rfam